UUACGACUAUAUCACGUUGAAACACCGGUUUUCGCACAAUCACCGAAGUUAAGCAACGUCGAGCCUUUACAGUACUUAGAUGGGUGACUGCUUGUGACUGCCAGGUAC
Non-coding RNA from Acanthosepion pharaonis, 108 nucleotides. The record is from the annotation of a GenBank genome assembly. Lineage: Eukaryota; Metazoa; Mollusca; Cephalopoda; Sepiida; Sepiidae.